AGCGUAGACGGAUGGACAAGUCUGAUGUGAAAGGCUGGGGCUCAACCCCGGGACUGCAUUGGAAACUGCCCGUCUUGAGUGCCGGAGAGGUAAGCGGAAUUCCUAGUGUAGCGGUGAAAUGCGUAGAUAUUAGGAAGAACACCAGUGGCGAAGGCGAUUCUCUGGACUGUAACUGACGCUGAGGCUCGAAAGCGAUGGGGAGCAAACA
Molecule: ribosomal RNA, 208 nt
Filed under: uncultured bacterium
Lineage: Bacteria
Description: partial 16S ribosomal RNA
Rfam family: Bacterial small subunit ribosomal RNA
Source: RNAcentral